This 27-nucleotide small RNA is filed under the name Bombyx mori (domestic silkworm). RNAcentral describes it as "ovarian small RNA-35363". Lineage: Eukaryota; Metazoa; Arthropoda; Insecta; Lepidoptera; Bombycidae. The record is from RNAcentral.
UGUAAUAUCUAGCUUAAACCACGCCAG